Molecule: long non-coding RNA, 2473 nt
Filed under: Daphnia magna
Lineage: Eukaryota; Metazoa; Arthropoda; Branchiopoda; Diplostraca; Daphniidae
Description: uncharacterized LOC116920396, transcript variant X5
Source: RNAcentral
UAAAUGUAUAAUAGGACAAUCCUUUUAGCCUAACGCGGAAGUAACCCGCUGCCAAUAGCAAAUCGCAAAUGUCCUGCAAUUUUGCUCUUUGUUCUUCAUCGUCCUUUACUUCAAAGAGCUCCUGAAAAAAAUCAACUCGGCAAUUUUAGUAAAGAAUCUCAAUCCUUUUUUGAAAAUCGAAACGUUACCCGCUUGUCCAUUAUACAAAACAGAGAAAUGUGACAGGCUGACACUAUUGCAAACUAUUGCAAGAUCGGUCGUGAUAUUUUCAUGACUUGUUUUUGUUUUUGGGUUCAAAAUUGAAACUAUAGAUGGCCAAUUAUGCAAAUGCUGCCGCAAAGCGGCGCACAUGUCUAUUGCAGACGAAAACUACAUACAAUUGUGCUGCGAUCGUUAGCAUUAAGCGCGGCAAAACAGCUGUGAAAAACAGCUGUUAGUUAGCCGUUUUUUUGAAAUAUUUCAGUUACCUGCUGUCUGAAGCUAGCAUGUUUGACAUUUUGUUACAUAUUAUUGAAGUUAAUUGUAAACUUGCAGAGUUGAAAACUGAUUUGAAAAGUUGGAAGAUCUUUGUUUAUAAUUACCAAUAAUGAUGGUGCAGAUCAUGAUUCUUGAACAAUGCUAAGUUAUCUUAUGAUUCUUUCAAAUACAGGGAUUAUAUUGAACAUUACAAUUUGCCUGCUGUGCUUGAGUUAACUUCAUCCCCAUGUCAUUGACCAGUGGCCCAGUCAUGUUAAGGGCAACUGUCAUGCAGCUUUGUCCUUUGCUGCUCUAUACUUUUCAAAGCUCUUCACUCUGUCUACUGACCAAGAUAUCAGAAGAAUUGAUCAACUCUGUAACUCCCUCACAGGUUGAUUAGGAGGGGAAACGUGGACAUAAUCAAAAAAUAUAUUUGGUUCAAUUCUGGCGUUAGAUGGCCAAGGAAGGAAAAGGCGGGAAAAAAAAAUGUGAUGUAAAACCGGUUGCCAACUUGCCAUAUUGCCAUAUCUUUCUUUUAAGAAGCAACGAAAAUGACGAAAAUGUACAUGCGACAAGUGUCAUCGUGUGGUGGAAAAAUAAAGCUUGAUGCCUUGUCGCGCAUUGAAGAGAACUUAUAUAAAGCCCUGCACCGAAUGAAUCAUUUUUCUUUGGUGCUGACUGUCGUCGUUCGUGGACGUAGGAUGAGUUUAGAUAAUCCCUGUUUGCAGUUCGACAGAGCAUGGUGGUGGCAGUGUUGGCUUAAGAGGUCAAAACUAACACAGCUGUUGGAAAGUAGGAUGAUGUAUUAAAUGGUGUUUCAACUGAGCUUUUGCUGCUUACAAGUCUGUUUUUCUGUCCAUGAGGCUGCAUUGUCUAAUGGAUGUUGUGGCUUUACUCCCUAAUGCCAAAGCAGUAGUAUGUGCUUCCAUGUCUGUACUUCAUGGUUUAGGCAUGAUGAAAUUCAAAUAUGAAUAUGAGAACAUGUUGGACCACUAUUUGUUAAUGCAGCAGCUUUGAUGACAUGCUUCUAUAUAGUGGAAGUAUCAUUAAGCAUUUGUAAAUUUUUUUUUGUGUAUGAUUACUCAAAACUACUUAAAGAAAGAGUUGGCAGGUAUCCUUAGAAUAGGUAAAGCUUUUCUUUGUUGCUCUCUUGUGAUCUGGUGAAGAGUUAGCUUCUUGUUACUUCAAUGACCAUUGUGCUUGAUUGCAUUAGUCUGCUACUGUUGGUUGACUCAUUGCAGGUGACUGCAUCAGCAAAGUGUUCAUUUUAGAGGGCACUUGCACGCUUAUUUGUGCAUGCAUUUGGACGAAGUGCAUGGCUCUGGCUUGUCCUGAUCAUGGAUUCUCCUCCUGACCUUAUUGUUACAUCCUCUGGUAUUACUUUGCAUCGUUUCCUCAUGCUGGCAUGGUACAAAUGUGAGGCAGGAUGGUCACAUGACUUGGCAUAUUGACAGAACAUGAAGUUGGAUUGCCCUCUUGCCAGUGUUGUAUACAGUGGUGGUUGCUCUAUGUUUGUACAUUUGUGGGAUUUUCUAUCCGCCGGUGGUGCUGUUUAGACGAUCGCAGGAUGCACGAAGCAACAGAUUAAUUUUACAUGUUUUUGUGGAAUUAGGUCUGCGUACGCCGAAGCCGAAAGGGACGUGACAUAUGAUGAAAAUUUAUGCCAAUUGAAGUUGAACUGCGCCUGAAAAUAUCCUUAAUUUUCUUAGAGUAGAUUUAGCAGUGUAUGUUGCAUUUUCUGUACCCCGUUUUACUUGUCUUGUGAUAAGGUCAUAGUGUGGUAGAUUGUUCUGCGGUGAUUUACAUGGACAUGGAAUUUACUCCAUUUGCAAUAUUAUCAGCGGGAUAAAAGGGUUUUCACAUAUGCUAAUUUAUGUCAAUCUUUACCUGGAAUAUGUUCUCCAAAAUUGUCUUGUUACUCUUCCGCUUCUAUUUGCUAUAAUGCUUUUUCUUGGUGAACUGUUAAUAACUUGUUGUAAAUGUAAAUAGUAUUGAUAAUAAACGAUAUAAAAUAAAA